AGUGAACGCUGGCGGUAGGCCUAACACAUGCAAGUCGAACGGCAGCACAGUAAGAGCUUGCUCUUACGGGUGGCGAGUGGCGGACGGGUGAGGAAUACAUCGGAAUCUACUUUUUCGUGGGGGAUAACGUAGGGAAACUUACGCUAAUACCGCAUACGACCUACGGGUGAAAGCAGGGGAUCUUCGGACCUUGCGCGAUUGAAUGAGCCGAUGUCGGAUUAGCUAGUUGGCGGGGUAAAGGCCCACCAAGGCGACGAUCCGUAGCUGGUCUGAGAGGAUGAUCACCCACACUGGAACUGAGAAAGGGUCCACACUCCUAGGGGGGGAAGCGGUGGGGAAUAUUGAACAAUGGGGCCAAGCCUGAUCCAGCCAUACGGCGUGGGUGAAGAAGGCCUUCGGGUGGUAAAGCCCUUUUGUUGGGAAGGAAAAGCAGCAGGUUAAUACCCCGCGGUUCUGACGGUACCAAAAGAAUAAGCACCGGCUAACUUCGUG
This 492-nucleotide ribosomal RNA is filed under the name uncultured bacterium. RNAcentral describes it as "partial 16S ribosomal RNA". It matches the Rfam family "Bacterial small subunit ribosomal RNA", at positions 29 to 507 of the family's 1533-position model. The record is from RNAcentral.